RNAcentral lists this ribosomal RNA (253 nucleotides) under uncultured bacterium. RNAcentral describes it as "partial 16S ribosomal RNA". It matches the Rfam family "Bacterial small subunit ribosomal RNA", at positions 524 to 776 of the family's 1533-position model. The record is from RNAcentral.
UACGUAGGUGACAAGCGUUAUCCGGAAUUACUGGGCGUAAAGCGCACGCAGGCGGCGCGUUAAGUCUGACGUGAAAUCUCCCGGCUUAACUGGGAGGGGUCGUUGGAGACUGAUGUGCUUGAGGCGGUGAGAGGGGUGUAGAAUUCCCGGUGUAGUGGUGGAAUGCGUAGAUAUCGGGAGGAAUACCAGUGGCGAAAGCGGCACCCUGGCACUAGCCCGACGCUCAUGUGCGAAGGCGUGGGGAGCGAACGGG